AGUGAACGCUGGCGGUAGGCCUAACACAUGCAAGUCGAACGGCAGCACAGUAAGAGCUUGCUCUUACGGGUGGCGAGUGGCGGACGGGUGAGGAAUACAUCGGAAUCUACUUUUUCGUGGGGGAUAACGUAGGGAAACUUACGCUAAUACCGCAUACGACCUACGGGUGAAAGCAGGGGAUCUUCGGACCUUGCGCGAUUGAAUGAGCCGAUGUCGGAUUAGCUAGUUGGCGGGGUAAAGGCCCACCAAGGCGACGAUCCGUAGCUGGUCUGAGGGGAUGUUCAGCCACCCUGGAACUUGGACACGGUCCAGACUCCUACGGGAGGCACCAGUGGGGAAUAUUGGACAAUGGGGGCAAGCCUGAUCCAGCCAUACCGCGUGGGUGAAGAAGGCCUUCGGGUUGUAAAGCCCUUUUGUUGGGAAAGAAAAGCAGCAGGUUAAUACCCCGCUGUUCUGACGGUACCCAAAGAAUAAGCACCGGCUAACUUCGUG
This 492-nucleotide ribosomal RNA is filed under the name uncultured bacterium. RNAcentral's name for it is "partial 16S ribosomal RNA". It matches the Rfam family "Bacterial small subunit ribosomal RNA", at positions 29 to 507 of the family's 1533-position model. The record is from RNAcentral.